AAAUUAAAAGACUAACAAUAAAGAAAACUAACUAAAUAAUAUAAUUUAAUAAUGGAUGGGUGUUUGGUUUUGACUAGAAGUAAAUUAAACUUAAAUAAAUUACAGAAUUGACAAAAACAUGAAAUUAAGGUGAAAGGAUAAGUGAUGGAUUAGCUAGAGGGUUCUUCUCUACACAUGACACAUAUGCAACCUAAAUUGAUUUUCAGUUGUUCUUUCAAUAAGUUGUGAAUCUCAAAACUCCAGAUUAACCGUGAACAGCACUUUUUUAAUCUUCAAGUUUUCCUUAAGUUAUUGAAU
Molecule: long non-coding RNA, 297 nt
Filed under: Malus domestica (apple)
Lineage: Eukaryota; Viridiplantae; Streptophyta; Magnoliopsida; Rosales; Rosaceae
Description: long non-coding RNA (MDOM_LNC019251)
Source: RNAcentral